RNAcentral lists this ribosomal RNA (299 nucleotides) under Amblyomma maculatum (Gulf Coast tick). Its description in RNAcentral is "partial 16S ribosomal RNA". The stretch from base 154 to 299 matches the Rfam family "Bacterial large subunit ribosomal RNA", at positions 2473 to 2619 of the family's 2925-position model. The record is from RNAcentral. Lineage: Eukaryota; Metazoa; Arthropoda; Arachnida; Ixodida; Ixodidae.
UAAGGACAAGAAGACCCUAAGAAUUUUAAAAAUUUCAAUAAAAUGCUGUAUUUAAUUGAAAUUUUUUAAUUGGGGCGAUUAUUAAAUAUUAAAAACUUUAAUUUUUUUUAAAAAAGAACCAAUAAUAUUGGUUAUUUGAAAAAAUACUCUAGGGAUAACAGCGUAAUAAUUUUUGAUAGUUCUUAUAGACAAAAUAGUUUGCGACCUCGAUGUUGGAUUAGGAUUCUUUUUUAAUGAAGAAGUUAAAAAAAGAAGUUUGUUCAACUUUUAAAAUCCUACUUGAUCUGAGUUCAGACCGG